AUACGGAGGAUGCGAGCGUUAUCCGGAUUUAUUGGGUUUAAAGGGAGCGUAGGCGGGAGCUUAAGUCAGCGGUUAAAUGGUGCGGCUCAACCGUGCCCUGCCGUUGAAAAUGGGUUUCUUGAGAGUGCAAGAGGCGGAUGGAAUUUCUGGGGUAGGGGUGAAAUGCAUAGAUAUCACGAAGAACUCCGAUCGCGAAGGCAGCCUUCCGGCCCGUCAACGACGCUCAUGCUCGAAGGUGCGGGUAUCAAACAGGAUUAGAUACCCUGGUAGUCCGCACAGUAAACGAUGGACACCCGCGGUUUGGCCUGUAUGGCUGAGCCGCCAAGCGAAAGCGUUAAGUGUCCCACCUGGGGAGUACGCCGGCAACGGUGAAACUCAAAGGAAUUGACGGGG
Molecule: ribosomal RNA, 393 nt
Filed under: uncultured bacterium
Lineage: Bacteria
Description: partial 16S ribosomal RNA
Rfam family: Bacterial small subunit ribosomal RNA
Source: RNAcentral